This 1463-nucleotide ribosomal RNA is filed under the name uncultured Klebsiella sp. Its description in RNAcentral is "bacterial SSU rRNA". It matches the Rfam family "Bacterial small subunit ribosomal RNA". Lineage: Bacteria; Pseudomonadati; Pseudomonadota; Gammaproteobacteria; Enterobacterales; Enterobacteriaceae. The record is from RNAcentral.
AUUGAACGCUGGCGGCAGGCCUAACACAUGCAAGUCGAGCGGUAGCACAGAGAGCUUGCUCUCGGGUGACGAGCGGCGGACGGGUGAGUAAUGUCUGGGAAACUGCCUGAUGGAGGGGGAUAACUACUGGAAACGGUAGCUAAUACCGCAUAACGUCGCAAGACCAAAGUGGGGGACCUUCGGGCCUCAUGCCAUCAGAUGUGCCCAGAUGGGAUUAGCUAGUAGGUGGGGUAAUGGCUCACCUAGGCGACGAUCCCUAGCUGGUCUGAGAGGAUGACCAGCCACACUGGAACUGAGACACGGUCCAGACUCCUACGGGAGGCAGCAGUGGGGAAUAUUGCACAAUGGGCGCAAGCCUGAUGCAGCCAUGCCGCGUGUGUGAAGAAGGCCUUCGGGUUGUAAAGCACUUUCAGCGGGGAGGAAGGCGAUAAGGUUAAUAACCUUGUCGAUUGACGUUACCCGCAGAAGAAGCACCGGCUAACUCCGUGCCAGCAGCCGCGGUAAUACGGAGGGUGCAAGCGUUAAUCGGAAUUACUGGGCGUAAAGCGCACGCAGGCGGUCUGUCAAGUCGGAUGUGAAAUCCCCGGGCUCAACCUGGGAACUGCAUUCGAAACUGGCAGGCUAGAGUCUUGUAGAGGGGGGUAGAAUUCCAGGUGUAGCGGUGAAAUGCGUAGAGAUCUGGAGGAAUACCGGUGGCGAAGGCGGCCCCCUGGACAAAGACUGACGCUCAGGUGCGAAAGCGUGGGGAGCAAACAGGAUUAGAUACCCUGGUAGUCCACGCCGUAAACGAUGUCGAUUUGGAGGUUGUGCCCUUGAGGCGUGGCUUCCGGAGCUAACGCGUUAAAUCGACCGCCUGGGGAGUACGGCCGCAAGGUUAAAACUCAAAUGAAUUGACAGGGGCCCGCACAAGCGGUGGAGCAUGUGGUUUAAUUCGAUGCAACGCGAAGAACCUUACCUGGUCUUGACAUCCACAGAACUUUCCAGAGAUGGACUGGUGCCUUCGGGAACUGUGAGACAGGUGCUGCAUGGCUGUCGUCAGCUCGUGUUGUGAAAUGUUGGGUUAAGUCCCGCAACGAGCGCAACCCUUAUCCUUUGUUGCCAGCGGUUAGGCCGGGAACUCAAAGGAGACUGCCAGUGAUAAACUGGAGGAAGGUGGGGAUGACGUCAAGUCAUCAUGGCCCUUACGACCAGGGCUACACACGUGCUACAAUGGCAUAUACAAAGAGAAGCGACCUCGCGAGAGCAAGCGGACCUCAUAAAGUAUGUCGUAGUCCGGAUUGGAGUCUGCAACUCGACUCCAUGAAGUCGGAAUCGCUAGUAAUCGUAGAUCAGAAUGCUACGGUGAAUACGUUCCCGGGCCUUGUACACACCGCCCGUCACACCAUGGGAGUGGGUUGCAAAAGAAGUAGGUAGCUUAACCUUCGGGAGGGCGCUUACCACUUUGUGAUUCAUGACUGGGGUGA